UUUGUAGAAAUUAACUGAACUAUGUCAAUAUAUACAAGAAAAUCUUAAUCAAUUUAGCUAAUUUCAUUGUGGAUCACAAGACUAGGUCAACGCCCAUGCGGC
Molecule: long non-coding RNA, 102 nt
Organism: Ipomoea nil (Japanese morning glory)
Lineage: Eukaryota; Viridiplantae; Streptophyta; Magnoliopsida; Solanales; Convolvulaceae
Exons: 3
Source: RefSeq, a predicted model, not a curated record